AGAGUUUGAUCAUGGCUCAGAUUGAACGCUGGCGGCAGGCCUAACACAUGCAAGUCGAACGGUAACAGGAAGCAGCUUGCUGCUUUGCUGACGAGUGGCGGACGGGUGAGUAAUGUCUGGGAAACUGCCUGAUGGAGGGGGAUAACUACUGGAAACGGUAGCUAAUACCGCAUAAUGUCGCAAGACCAAAGAGGGGGACCUUCGGGCCUCUUGCCAUCGGAUGUGCCCAGAUGGGAUUAGCUAGUAGGUGGGGUAACGGCUCACCUAGGCGACGAUCCCUAGCUGGUCUGAGAGGAUGACCAGCCACACUGGAACUGAGACACGGUCCAGACUCCUACGGGAGGCAGCAGUGGGGAAUAUUGCACAAUGGGCGCAAGCCUGAUGCAGCCAUGCCGCGUGUAUGAAGAAGGCCUUCGGGUUGUAAAGUACUUUCAGCGGGGAGGAAGGGAGUAAAGUUAAUACCUUUGCUCAUUGACGUUACCCGCAGAAGAAGCACCGGCUAACUCCGUGCCAGCAGCCGCGGUAAUACGGAGGGUGCAAGCGUUAAUCGGAAUUACUGGGCGUAAAGCGCACGCAGGCGGUUUGUUAAGUCAGAUGUGAAAUCCCCGGGCUCAACCUGGGAACUGCAUCUGAUACUGGCAAGCUUGAGUCUCGUAGAGGGGGGUAGAAUUCCAGGUGUAGCGGUGAAAUGCGUAGAGAUCUGGAGGAAUACCGGUGGCGAAGGCGGCCCCCUGGACGAAGACUGACGCUCAGGUGCGAAAGCGUGGGGAGCAAACAGGAUUAGAUACCCUGGUAGUCCACGCCGUAAACGAUGUCGACUUGGAGGUUGUGCCCUUGAGGCGUGGCUUCCGGAGCUAACGCGUUAAGUCGACCGCCUGGGGAGUACGGCCGCAAGGUUAAAACUCAAAUGAAUUGACGGGGGCCCGCACAAGCGGUGGAGCAUGUGGUUUAAUUCGAUGCAACGCGAAGAACCUUACCUGGUCUUGACAUCCACGGAAGUUUUCAGAGAUGAGAAUGUGCCUUCGGGAACCGUGAGACAGGUGCUGCAUGGCUGUCGUCAGCUCGUGUUGUGAAAUGUUGGGUUAAGUCCCGCAACGAGCGCAACCCUUAUCCUUUGUUGCCAGCGGUCCGGCCGGGAACUCAAAGGAGACUGCCAGUGAUAAACUGGAGGAAGGUGGGGAUGACGUCAAGUCAUCAUGGCCCUUACGACCAGGGCUACACACGUGCUACAAUGGCGCAUACAAAGAGAAGCGACCUCGCGAGAGCAAGCGGACCUCAUAAAGUGCGUCGUAGUCCGGAUUGGAGUCUGCAACUCGACUCCAUGAAGUCGGAAUCGCUAGUAAUCGUGGAUCAGAAUGCCACGGUGAAUACGUUCCCGGGCCUUGUACACACCGCCCGUCACACCAUGGGAGUGGGUUGCAAAAGAAGUAGGUAGCUUAACCUUCGGGAGGGCGCUUACCACUUUGUGAUUCAUGACUGGGGUGAAGUCGUAACAAGGUAACCGUAGGGGAACCUGCGGUUGGAUCACCU
This 1530-nucleotide ribosomal RNA is filed under the name Escherichia coli. RNAcentral describes it as "bacterial SSU rRNA". It matches the Rfam family "Bacterial small subunit ribosomal RNA". Lineage: Bacteria; Pseudomonadati; Pseudomonadota; Gammaproteobacteria; Enterobacterales; Enterobacteriaceae. The record is from RNAcentral. RNAcentral also lists the same sequence under 2 other names.